GAAGGUCUAGCUCAGAGGUAGAGUGCAUGCCUAGCGUGCAUGAGGUCCCAGGCUCAAUCCCUAGUACCUCCA
RNAcentral lists this transfer RNA (72 nucleotides) under Camelus bactrianus (Bactrian camel). It matches the Rfam family "tRNA". Rfam says of the family: Transfer RNA (tRNA) molecules are approximately 80 nucleotides in length. Lineage: Eukaryota; Metazoa; Chordata; Mammalia; Artiodactyla; Camelidae. The record is from Rfam by way of RNAcentral. RNAcentral also lists the same sequence under 2 other names.